This 475-nucleotide ribosomal RNA is filed under the name Streptococcus mitis. RNAcentral's name for it is "bacterial SSU rRNA". It matches the Rfam family "Bacterial small subunit ribosomal RNA", at positions 28 to 489 of the family's 1533-position model. The record is from RNAcentral. Lineage: Bacteria; Bacillati; Bacillota; Bacilli; Lactobacillales; Streptococcaceae.
GACGAACGCUGGCGGCGUGCCUAAUACAUGCAAGUAGAACGCUGAAGGAGGAGCUUGCUUCUCUGGAUGAGUUGCGAACGGGUGAGUAACGCGUAGGUAACCUGCCUGGUAGCGGGGGAUAACUAUUGGAAACGAUAGCUAAUACCGCAUAAGAGUAGAUGUUGCAUGACAUUUGCUUAAAAGGUGCAAUUGCACCACUACCAGAUGGACCUGCGUUGUAUUAGCUAGUUGGUGAGGUAACGGCUCACCAAGGCGACGAUACAUAGCCGACCUGAGAGGGUGAUCGGCCACACUGGGACUGAGACACGGCCCAGACUCCUACGGGAGGCAGCAGUAGGGAAUCUUCGGCAAUGGACGGAAGUCUGACCGAGCAACGCCGCGUGAGUGAAGAAGGUUUUCGGAUCGUAAAGCUCUGUUGUAAGAGAAGAACGAGUGUGAGAGUGGAAAGUUCACACUGUGACGUAUCUACCAGAAA